CAGUCGCCGCGGGAAAACGUAGGGGGCAAGCGUUGUCCGGAAUCAUUGGGCGUAAAGCGCGUGUAGGCGGCUCGAUAAGUCUGCUGUGAAAGUCCAGGGCUCAACCCUGGAAUGCCGGUGGAAACUGUCGAGCUCGAGUCCGGAAGAGGCAAGUGGAAUUCCUGGUGUAGCGGUGAAAUGCGCAGAUAUCAGGAGGAACACCAAUGGCGAAGGCAGCUUGCUGGGACGGUACUGACGCUGAGACGCGAAAGCGUGGGGAGCAAACAGGAUUAGAUACCCCUGUAGUCCCUGUCUCUUAUAC
Molecule: ribosomal RNA, 301 nt
Filed under: uncultured bacterium
Lineage: Bacteria
Description: partial 16S ribosomal RNA
Rfam family: Bacterial small subunit ribosomal RNA
Source: RNAcentral